UGAUGGCAAAUAUCAGGCUAACCUCUGGUGA
This 31-nucleotide non-coding RNA is filed under the name Homo sapiens (human). The record is from RNAcentral. Lineage: Eukaryota; Metazoa; Chordata; Mammalia; Primates; Hominidae.